GUUGUCCUAGUUGGGCAGGCCAGACCAAUAAUAAUAAUAUCAAUGGUCAUGAUGCACAGCCCUAUGAUGCCUCUACCAAAUACUGAGCAGCAUCUGUCCAAAAGCUUUUUCCUACAUGAUCUUAUUGGGCCCACAUGUGUGAUUGUGCUUGUCCACUGAUUUCCUUCUAGCCAUGGAUGAAAGGGACUCCAAGCCUCAGUCCCCUUGCUGACACAUCAAGGGGCUCAUUCUUAUUAAUCAAUCUUCAGAAUUACAAAAAUUGGCUUAUCUUCUUGGAAAUGUCCUCUAGGACCACACCCUGAUAAUAAAAUGUCUGCCCAGGGAGAGAGUAGGGCUCAAGGAUCCUAUACAAACUCAGUGAACCACAAUGGUGGUACUGAACUUCUCAUCUCUAGGUAUUUGGAUUGGUUUGAUGAUCUUGGUUGAUGGCUAGAGAUGGGGGCUUUCCUUAGUAAGAGUAGACUAUCAUAUGUCAACAAAGUCUUGGCCAGUAGGGGAGGAAACUGGACCCACUAACAUCUAGGGACAAAUUGAAUUGAAAUAGGGUUUAACAUCUCAUUAAUACAAACAUUACACUUCCAAAGGAUUCCCAUUUCCAUUUACAAAGGAUAGUGAAGAACCACCAGAUAGAGAACACCAAGCUCCUUACAAGAUUCAUCAUGGAUCUCUCCUCUUAAUCUGCUCCAUUCUUUCACUCAAAGAUAGACACAUCAACAAUCAACAUGGCGAACCUCUUCUCUGGAAAUGAAUCCUCUAUAAAAAUUUCUUCAACUCAAACUUUAGGAUUUUUUAAUAAAGAAAGGUGAAAACAAAAAGCAUGCAUGACAAGCCUGGGAAAUAUCAUGAGAAAAAGUGUGUUGACUCGCAUAUACAAACCUACAAUCAGUAAACUACCUUAUAAAUCAUUUUGUUACUAGUGCUAAGUUGGUUCUGUGUUUUAUUUAGGAUAAAGAAUCUCCUUCCAAUGUAUUUUUUAUUUGUUAAUAUAACAUAUCUAUAGUUUUGUAGAUAGAAUGUUAAAUUCAUCUUAUAAAAUUGCAUAGCAGAUAAGAAGACUGCAGGAGGUGUCUAGUUACUAGCUUAUAUAAAAUAUCAUUGCUGAGCUUUAAGUGAUGCUUCUCACUGGAGGUCCUUCAAGAGAAGAUGUUUUUUGCCCAAUCAGCUUCUGUUGAAGGUACACAAGCUCUUGACACAGUGAGGACUAUUUUCUAACUAUAUUACUAAUAACAGUUCCCCUACACAAGGACAUAUCUGUCAGAUUAGUUUAAGUGUAGAAGUUGAAGGACCUCUUUGCACUCUGGCUAAACACAUUUAAUAAAACACCAUGGAAAUCAUGUGGACGGAUAACAGAAAACCUAAAUAACUUCUUCUCGAUAUAAGAGUUAGCUUAGAGGAGAUUCAAAAGCUUAAGUGGUUAAUUGGAACAAGAAUGUAAAAAAAAUAUAAAUAUAAAUAUAAAACAAAUAAAUAAUAAAGGGGGGGGUUCUCCCAGGAGAAGAUGUAUAGGAUUAAGUGAAGGCAUCUUCAUUUACAGAUUAUAUUCUUGACCUUCUUGACAUAAUAUGAAAUAAAAUGCAAACCUCAGUACUCAUAAGACUUACAUAUCACAUAUUGCUAAUGUGCCAUAAGAUUACAAUGCAUUUAAAAGCAACAAAAGGACUGAAUUAAAGAGGACAUAGACAUAUAAUCAACAAAUGCAAAUGGGUGCAUUCUGUGUUUUGAGAUCACUUCAAGAUAUAGACCUUAAUCUAAAGGCUCUUAACAUAUUGGUUAAACAAGAAAGAGUUUUGGUAUAUUUAACUCCCUGAUUAUUAACAUCUUUUCCUUCAGUCAUUAUGAAAUAUAACUAUAACAGGAUUGAACAAAUAAUUAUGUUUUAUUUUCAAUACAUAAUGAUAAAAUUUGUUUGCUUUUCUCCAUUAUGCACUUUCAUGCUUGGGGACCAGGAUGCUCCAACUAUUUUUGCCCUUUAUAAUACCCACUUCUUACUUCGGUAUCAUGAUUCAUAAUCACAUGAGGUACCUAACCUAGUUUGCUUUAACAUAUUAUUCUCGUGCAUUUAUGUUGUGAUAAGAAUUAUUGAGCAAAAAGCUUAAAACAUCAAAUAUCUUGAGUUCAAACCCUCUCUGAAAUGCAAGACAAAUGUAAGAACAGGCAUAUAUCAGAAGUUGCUCAAAAUGAUGGUGUUCUAAAGGCAAUCUGAGAAGUUCUUGUCAACUCUUAUCAAUCAUUUCUAUUCUUGGGUUCCUUAGCUCCCCAGUGAAAUUAAAAUCCAAUGUUGUUCAUUACUUUUGCCACUUAAAGUGACCAGUUAUUCUUGUACGUUUCUGUUCUUGGUCCAAAUAAAACAAUACUCCAAGGUCAAUCUUUCUUGAGAACAAAUUGCCAGCCUACAAAAUUUUAUCAUCCUAACACCAAGUUUAUUCCAACAUAUGAAUCUCAAAAAGAUUGGGGUGAAGAAAUGAAAGAACUAGAAGUGGGAAAAAAAAUACAGUUUAAAGGCAUCCAACCAAAGCAACCUUUCCCUUUCCAACGACCAAUCCCCCACUGCAGUAACCCAAAUUGGAUGUAUUGUACAAGCAAUGCGUGCAAAUUACUUUGUAUAUUCUAGACCUUCCACAGUUUGAAACUUUAUUAAAAUAUAUUGUGAGUUCUAUUAAAGAUCAAGAGACAGAAAUUUCUUGGAUCAUUUGAAAGGCCAAUGCAACAGUAGCACUAAAUCAAACACGGAUGGUCUCCUAAAUUCUAGGCAAUUUGACCACUUUUUUGACAUAUUUUAAUUGUCUUUCAACUUUAGAUGCUUCAAUCUUGUGCAUGAUGACAUAUGGGAACAGGGCAGUAAUUUUUCAGCUAUAAGACAAGCAACAAACUCAUAACUUCUUUGUAAAAACAACUUGGCCUGUUUAAGGGAUUUUGGGUCUUUUUGCUUCUAAUGCCUUGUUUUACAGCUUAUUUUUAAAAUUUCAUUUCCUUGAUAAGGAUGGAGAAUGGUGAGGGAGAAUAUGGUGCUGGUUUCUCAGCUAUAAGAUCAGCAGCAAACUUCAAAUUUCUUCAUGAAAAUGAUGGACCUGUCUAAAAAGCCUUGGAUUUUUUUCUUCUUAUGUCUAGUUUCAAUGUCUUCUUUUUUUCACUAAAAUUAAGAGAGAGAGGGUGUGAGAGAGAAAGAGAUUGGUACGUUUAAUUUUCCUACAGGAUGGAUCAACCACACCCUCAUACUUCUAAUUCUACUUUUACCCAUUCAAAUGUUUUUUCUGUUGCAUAAUGGCACCAUGUCCCCAUACUCUUCAUCUAGCAUCACCAAGAAGGAUCAUCAGAUCCGAUGACUGAUUUGUUCUCAUCAGUCAGUUCCUAACUUCCUAUAAUAUCUAAUUAGAGAGAAAUGAAAUCAGCCACUAAAAAUUAUUCCAACAACCCUGCAGAAGAUAACUAAUAUUCCCACAUUUCCCCUUAUCUUGUGUUAUUCAUCUUCUGGAAUUUUCAAUAAAUUUACCAAUUAGUAUUUUAAAAGAUAGUCCAACCAUUUCACACUUCCUUCCUGUCUAUUGUUGUGUUUCAUAGUUGAAAAAAAUGAAGAUGGCAGAGGGAUGAAGUAGUGAUCUGUAUCUGCCUGAAUAAACUGCUUAUACUCCCAAGAAAAUGGGUUAGUCACUAGUAGUUAACAAGAUGGGGGCAACGAAUAAUCAGCGAUGGGCUGAUACUAAAGUUUAGUAUUAAAGAAUGAUCAUGCAAGAAAAUAGUUUCAUCAAUAGUAGUUUCAGCGAUGUUAACACAAGGGUCCGAAUCCUACUCAACCAGUGAUAAAGCUGCCAAAAGCCCCGACUUCUUAAAGGAACCUUUUGUGAAAUAACGAUGGUGGAAUCCCCUUCUACUGGGAGGUCACCAAAUAAUCAAGCCUUCCAAGAGCACUAAAAGCUCAUCCUCAAUGGUCAUCACGUUUCCUACUGGUGUGGGAAAAAGAUGCACCAUCUCUCCCCCAUGUUAUCUUAUCACACUCCAAUGCCCAACCAACCUGAGUUUCCCAAAUCACAACCAUCAAUCUAUAAAACUAUCACUGGGAAGAGGAUCCCAGCAACAAAUCACAGGCACUUCUUCAACCGUGAGAAAUGACUCUCCAGUCCACAGAGAUGAUGUAAAGCAGAAUGCCAUAAAACGCCCUUCUUAGCACAAUCUUCUAGAGAGAGGUUAAAAAAAUACUCCCUCAAAUUUCAUUUAUUGAAUGUCUUUUAUCCUCCUAGAUCCUACUUCACCCAAAUCAUGGCAAGAUGAGCACGCCACAGAAAACACUCUACUCAUCUACUCCUAUGAAAUCCUCAAAAGAUUUAAAAAUUCUAUGAAUAUGCUUAGGUCACCACAGAAUACCGUCAAAGAAAGAACCAUAGACAAGUUAGGAUUUUUUCAAAAUACAAUUAAUUGUUAGGUGUUUGCACAAUAAGAAUUCUAGAGACGUAAAUAUAAAAUUACUUUUAAAAUGAUACAAUUCAUUAUUCGAAUGAAAACAUGAAAUCUAGCAAUGCUUCAUGAAUGAUAAUGGUAGCAUUGCUUCAUUUGAGUUAUGGUAAAACAUGAAGAGUCAUAUCCUUUCAGUGAAUAUAUAUUAAAAUAAAUAUUGAAUUACUGAUAUGUAUGCAUAUAUAUGCACAUGCAUACACACAAAAAUAUAUUACUUUCUAUCUAGUUUUAUCUUCGUCUUUCACUUCAACUUGGGCUCUGAUAACUUCUUUUUUUUCCCGGGAUUGCAGUCUCGGAGACAGAGUCGUGAGAGGGCUUUGCAUCCUAGGACAUUAUUUCCAAGAGUCCAACUGCAAUAGUAGGGAAAUAUUUGUCUUUAACAUAGUGUCUUAAUUGGCAUGCCUAGCCAAUUUUUCUUCCAUCUCUUUGUUUCUUUAUCCAAUUUUGUCUCUUCUCAUAUUAUUUCCAAGAAGACAGAGGUCAAAAGAAUAAGGCAAUGAUGUAACAAAUUGUCAGUUGUUUCUCUAUUUUUCAAAUAGAAAGAACAUCCAUUAGGGCAGAGGGCAUCUUGAAUUUCAAGCGAUGUGCGAAAAGGUCUUUACAAUUGGCCAAAUAACAAAAGGAAUGAUCCUAUUGAGCUGUGCAUGUGUGAAAACAUAAGGAAUUGGCUAAUACCUCCUUAUUCAUUGUGAGGAUCUAUUGUAGCUUGUGGUUUCUUUAGCUUUAGUGUCUCUUUUGUGAAGCAGAGUCACUGAAGGAGAUUCUAUGUAGCUGGCAUGUCUUUGAAGGAAAAAAGAGGGGGAAAUACAGAGGAUUACCCCUUUGAGUUUAUUCAGAAUGUUUGGAAUCGACAA
RNAcentral lists this long non-coding RNA (5303 nucleotides) under Vitis vinifera (wine grape). RNAcentral describes it as "long non-coding RNA (VVIN_LNC008101)". Lineage: Eukaryota; Viridiplantae; Streptophyta; Magnoliopsida; Vitales; Vitaceae. The record is from RNAcentral.